CUCCUGGACUCUCUGUCUGGAUCCUCUCCUCUGUCUGGACCCCCGGGGCAGUAUUUGUCCAAACACCCUGGAGAGGACACAGAAAAGACAGGCAACCACCGCACUCGUCAAUGAGGAGCAGCUGUGCAGAGCCCAGAACAAAAGGCUACAUGCAAAUCUCUAAAAAUACUCAAUAAAUACAAUUAAAACUUC
Xiphophorus hellerii (green swordtail) is the source of this 192-nucleotide long non-coding RNA. RefSeq lists it as uncharacterized. Lineage: Eukaryota; Metazoa; Chordata; Actinopteri; Cyprinodontiformes; Poeciliidae. The record is from RefSeq and is a predicted model, not a curated record. The transcript is spliced from 2 exons.